Molecule: long non-coding RNA, 3440 nt
Filed under: Gossypium barbadense (sea-island cotton)
Lineage: Eukaryota; Viridiplantae; Streptophyta; Magnoliopsida; Malvales; Malvaceae
Description: long non-coding RNA (GBAR_LNC018341)
Source: RNAcentral
CUCUGUUAGAAUUUCGAGAAAAAGAUGUUUCAUCAGUUUUGUCCACCUGAAUCGCUUUAUUGACCCUUCUUUGUUGCCCUUACCCAUUCUACAUUAAUAAUUGUCAUUGUCAAUAAUUUCAAUAUCCAACAAGCUUAAAACAUAAUAAUUUCAAUAUCCAACAAUAAUUUCAAUAUCAAUAUACAACCAACAUUAAAAAAAUAACAAUUUUAAUACUAAAACAUACAUAACAUAAAAACAUUAACCUUGAGCCCUAAACCUACCUAAUGUUUCUAGCCAUAUAAUCAGUCCACAUAGUUUGUGCAAUUUCCUCUCUCUUAGCAAACUAUUCUCUUGUUUCUUCUCAUUCUUCUAGUUCCAUAAGAGUUAGUAUUAUCAAAUCAGACCCAAGCUCCUCAUAUAAUCCUUUGAUUAAGUAAAUCAUUAGGCUCAACUCUCAUUAUAUGAUUAUAAAUGAUACAACAAGCCAAAACUAUACCUACUUAAGUUUGAAAUUUCCAAAAUGGUUCAGCAUCUAACACACGAAAUCGUUACUUCAAAAUCCUAAAAACACGUUCAACAGUGAUUCAUAAUAAUGAAUGAAGAAGAUUGAAGAGUUCCUUUACAUUUUCUGGCCUCUGAUCACUAAACUCUUUUAAAUGAUGUAAGACACCACGAUAUGAGGUAAUAUAUCUAUUUCGAAUGCCAUAUCCAGCAUCAACAAGAUAAUAUUUACCUAUAAUUUUGUAAAAUAUAAUUAUUAUUAAUAAAUUAUUAGCUUGCUUGAACUAUUUGGUUUUUAAUGUUAAUUCUUACCUUCUAGAAUUCUUAAUCCUCUUGGGCAUGAAAGUGCAUCACUUAAAAUACAAGAACCAUGUACACUACCUUCCCAACCAACUAGAACAUAGGAAAAUUUCAAAUCCAAUGUAAUGACAGCCAAUACAUUUUGUGUUGUCCCCCCUUUAUGGCUACGAAAUCUUCCCCGGAUGCUAAGUGGAACGGACGCACGAACUUGAGUUCAAUCUAAUACUCCAAUGCAAUCUUUAAAAUAAGGGCAAAAAACCUUGGAUUGUUUCUGUUUUCACUAAGAGUUGACUCAUAAGGUAAUCUAAUAACUAAUCUAUACAAUUUCAAAAUAGCUCUCAAUACAACUCUAAAGUAAUGGUAAAUUGUCUCAAUUGAUCUAUAAUAUCUAGAUCCAAUCACUAAAAUAUUACAUUAUGACCAAUUAUAUAUAAAAAUAUAACUACUUGCUCCCUAAUAUUCACCGAUUUAGUUUAUUGUAACAAAUUGUUCAUACUAAGAAUGUCACAAAUUAGAAAAGACAACUAGUGUCAUCCUUAUCACAUCCAUACAAUGUUGGUCACCUCUAUAUAAAAUACUAUUAAUAUAAUUUUCUCUUUCAUAAUCUUGAUUCACACGAGGGUGAGAAGCGAUUUCCUUCCUAUUUUUUAAUAUUUUAAUCCAAAGAGCCCCAAAAGCUAAAACUAAAGCCACAAUCCCAACAAUUGCAUUAUGAUAUUGAUUACGAUCCAUCUACACAAAAUAAUAUCAAAAAAAUAUUUGAUCAUUACAUAAAAUAAUUUCAAGUUGUGUUGGAGCUCAAGAACAAAAAUAUAGUAAAAAUAAAAUAACUAUAUACAACUUGUCAACUUUAGAUAUACUGGUAUUCUAGUUUUAGUAAUUACAGUACCCAAUUCGAACAAAAAAAAUAACCAAUAUGAAACUAGUAUAUAUCAAUUAAGUCGGGGGUAUAUAAAAAUAUAAUAAAAACAGAUGGGACAAUCUAUAAGAAGACAUAACAGAGAGUGUGGAACAUGUUUUCUAGUGCAAAACCAAAUAUCAUGUGAAAUUUUCAGUUCCACAACUGGUUUCUUAUUGGAUGUCUUGAUGAUAGCUACCUAAAUGUUAUUAUUUUCAGAAAAUGAAAAAAACCAAUAUAACCUAAAUAUUUGAUGCACAAAAAAGAAUAAUGAAUGACAUCUCAGCUUCUACCCAGCUUGUCUCCCAAAUGCUAACAUUAACAAUUAACUAUGUACAAAUUAUCGCACUCUUCAUUUUUCUGAAAGUAUCCAUAACCACAUAUUUUUAUGCCUGGAUAAAGAUAUUAUCCUCUAAACACUUUAAAAUUAUUUAAAAUUAUGUAAAAAUAUCUUUAAAAAUAAACAUAUCGAAAUCAAACACACAUCCAUACAUAACACAUUUAAAUCUAAGUAGCAUAAGCUACAAACUUGCACACUUGCAAUGGGUAUGUCUAUUUGUCAGUUUUUAGCAACAGUAAUGAAUAAACCAACCAAAAAAAGGUUUCAAUUUUACUAUAUGUAUUUAUAUGGGCAAUGAUUAAUUAAUUGUAUUUACAUAUAUUCACUGAAAGAGGACGGCCUAAUAAGCAACGAGAUCAACCCGCAGGCCUUCAAUGAAGAAAAAUUUUAUACUACAAGCCAACUAAACCAAUGGCUAUAUAUAUACGAGGAAACCAAUUGAACCAAAUAGCAUAAAUCGAGUUAAGUAGGUUGAAUCAGAGCUCAAUUACUAGCCAGCAACAAAGACGUCCUUCAUUAGGAAAUCUUUUUAUAGAUGAGCAAAUUGGAAGCUGAGAGGACCACUUAAUCAUCAUUUUUUUCUUAAUUUUCUAAAGCCAAAUCAUGAGUCAUCAUCACCUUUUAUUUUCUAAAGCCAAUCAAUUUGGAACUUGUUUGUCUUUAACCUAGAUAGAACAUAACAGACACAAAAACAUGGUCCCUCCUCGACCUAGUUGUCUAAUCUAUUUACUUUUAUGUAUUUUACAUAAAAGGAAACAACAAUGAGAAAUAAAGAUGGCCACUAAUAACUUAUUCAUCGACCCAGUUGCUGUCUUCAAUUUACAGAUAUGCUAGUUCAUAGACAGCUAAACUCAACUAAGAAGUAAUGUAUCCAUUUUUUCUUCUUUUUACCCUUCGGGUUACAAAAGAGUGAACCAAACCCAAAAAAACUCACCACAGAUACAUUAGAAAUCAAAACAGAAUUGACUCCAAAAAACAAAUUGAAAGCACAUAAUUUGGUCCAAAACAUGCAUGGACUGAACCUAAUAAAAAAUGCCCAAUUUAGACAAUCCCAAAAGAAAGUAAUUGGUCAAAAGAAAAAAGAAAGAAAAAGCAUUGAUGUUAGGGAAAAAAAAGGGACAGCGAACGUAAGGGAAAAAAGAAAGUAAUUCACCAAAAAAAAAAGCAAUUGAAGCAUCUUAAACUUAUAAAAAGAAAAAAAGAAAAAAAAAACAUACAUUGAUGACAAUUGCGCUAAGAGUAGCAACCUUAAGGGAGCUUUGGAAGAUAAAAUAACAUUUAGAUCAGGGUGGAAAGAAAGGGGAAAGAAGAAAGGGAGAAGGGGUUUUGUGUUAUUGUUGGUGAAGAGUAAAGCUUUGGAAAAUGUCUUACCGAAAUGAAGAUGGUAAGAUGUUUUCCUAAAAUAAAGCCUUCUUUUUU